GAUGAACGCUGGCGGCGUGCCUAAUACAUGCAAGUCGAGCGAACAGACGAGGAGCUUGCUCCUCUGACGUUAGCGGCGGACGGGUGAGUAACACGUGGAUAACCUACCUAUAAGACUGGGAUAACUUCGGGAAACCGGAGCUAAUACCGGAUAAUAUAUUGAACCGCAUGGUUCAAUAGUGAAAGACGGUUUUGCUGUCACUUAUAGAUGGAUCCGCGCCGCAUUAGCUAGUUGGUAAGGUAACGGCUUACCAAGGCAACGAUGCUUAGCCGACCUGAGAGGGUGAUCGGCCACACUGGAACUGAGACACGGUCGAGACUCCUACGGGAGGCAGCAGUAGGGAAUCUUCCGCAAUGGGCGAAAGCCUGACGGAGCAACGCCGCGUGAGUGAUGAAGGUCUUCGGCUGGUAAAACUCUGUUAUUAUGGAAGAACAAAUGUGUAAGUAACUAUGCACGUCUUGACGGUACCUAAUCAGAAAGCCACGGCUAACUACGUG
This 497-nucleotide ribosomal RNA is filed under the name uncultured bacterium. RNAcentral's name for it is "partial 16S ribosomal RNA". It matches the Rfam family "Bacterial small subunit ribosomal RNA", at positions 28 to 507 of the family's 1533-position model. The record is from RNAcentral.